CCCAAAUCCACGCCAACUCCUCUCUUCCCUCUCCCUCUCGCGAUCCACCGCACCCCAGCCACCGAUCUCCUCCUCCUCACACGGGCGCCAGCCGCUGAGCCACAAUUGCCUCUCCUUCUCUCUCAAGCCACAGCCGUCGGUGAUCUCUCCUCCUCACGCGAGCAUCUCCUUCUCGCGAUCUCCUCACCAAAACCACCGAGCCAUAGCCACCGGUUUCCUCUUUUCCCUCACGCGAGCACCAGCCAAUCUCCCUCUCGCGAGUUCCCCGCACCCUAGUCGGCCUCUCUUCCUCACUCGAGCUCCACUUCCUCAUAGUUGGGUUGGAAAUCUUCAUCUAGCCACCACAUAUCUAGGUGGGGAAACUUCUUGUUCAUCAUAGGUACAUGUGGAAUCUUCAUCGAGCUUCUACAGAUCAAAUUGAGGUAACAAUCUUAAUCUCACUAAAUGGAUAGGUGGAUUAAUUUGUGCAGUGGUUGCCAAGAACCAGAGAUAGAGUUGGGAAGUUGAUUUGCCCUUUCACAUGCUGAUGGAUCUAGGGCAACAACUACUGCUCUAUUGUUUUGUGGUUGCCUUCGAUCGCUGAUCGUUGGUGUCCUCUGUUGCCUUGCUACCACCGUAGAGCUUCACCUAGCUCCGACCAUAAUUUUUGAUAGUAAGUUCUCCAGCUGAGAGUCCUACAGCGGAGUAUCCAAAUUUAGGACAUUGGUUCGAGACGAACGUCUCGACAUGGGAUUGUUUAGCACAAUCUACAAAUGAAGGCGGACACUUCUUGCUUUAUCUCUUUAGUACAUUGAUCUUAGUGCAUGAGCUAUAUUUUCGGAUAGUUCCUGUUGAUGCUGUCCGGAGAGUUCCAGUCGCUAGUCCCCUACAGUCCACGAGGACGUUUUGUUGGUCUUUUGGUUCUUAUUUAUUAGACUGUGUUUAGACUUAUUCUGCUUUUGACAUCUGGACUUGUAUUAGUUUACUUUAUGGAUAUUGUCUAUGAGUUUUAUUUGGAUUUGUUUUGCUACAUGACUGCUUAGACGGCAGAAGAGGUGAGUUGAUUUUAUCA
This is a long non-coding RNA of Zingiber officinale, 1051 nucleotides long. RefSeq lists it as uncharacterized. The record is from RefSeq and is a predicted model, not a curated record. The transcript has 4 exons. NCBI's taxonomy places the organism in Eukaryota, Viridiplantae, Streptophyta, Magnoliopsida, Zingiberales, Zingiberaceae.